AGAAACUCCAGUUUGAGAAGCUGAUUCCUGAUGAAGAACCCAGGGCACCUACUUUUAUAAGAGCAAUGCUGGUGGGCAGGUUUCGCUGCCAGUUUUCAAGUCGUCUGCAUAUAUUCACCCCAGCUUUCUCCUUCCUCUCUAGCCAUGUGACCCUAGAAAAGAUGCUGAGCAUUUCUGAGCUCUUCUCUACAAUGAGAAUCAUAUUUUUGCCAUCUAAAUCGUACCCUAAACCACGCAGGUUAGUGUGGCUGUUUCUGAACUCGACACAAACGUGGUCCUCUGGCACACCUUCCGCCGCCUCUGGCUGCCCUAGAUCAACGCGCUGCUGAGGUUCGUCCACGUUGCUGGCACUGUGGUGAUCUAGUCACUGUUGCUGCUCUGCUGGUGUUUCAGCGUGGGUCUGUGCUGGCGCGCAUCCAUCUCUUUUGCCGUUGGUGGACCUUUGAGCUGAUCCCGGCCGUGGCACCAGGAACCGUGGCUGCUAUCAGCUCCCCUGUGUUCUCCUGGCACACAGUGCUCA
Long non-coding RNA from Cervus elaphus (red deer), 520 nucleotides. RefSeq lists it as uncharacterized. The transcript is spliced from 3 exons. The record is from RefSeq and is a predicted model, not a curated record. Lineage: Eukaryota; Metazoa; Chordata; Mammalia; Artiodactyla; Cervidae.